CCUGGCUCAGGACGAACGCUGGCGGCGCGCCUAACACAUGCAAGUCGAACGGAGUUAUCUCAGCUGAAGCUUUCGGGUGGAUGCAGGGAUAACUUAGUGGCGAACGGGUGAGUAACACGUGAGGAACCUGCCCUGGGGUGGGGGACAACAGUUGGAAACGACUGCUAAUACCGCAUAAGCCCACAGUACCGCAUGGUACAGAGGGAAAAGGAGCAAUUCGCUUCAGGAUGGCCUCGCGUCCAAUUAGGUAGAUGGUGAGGUAACGGCCCACCAUGCCGACGAUUGGUAGCCGGACUGAGAGGUUGAACGGCCACAUUGGGACUGAGACACGGCCCAGACUCCUACGGGAGGCAGCAGUGGGGAAUAUUGCACAAUGGGGGAAACCCUGAUGCAGCGACGCCGCGUGGAGGAAGAAGGUUUUCGGAUUGUAAACUCCUGUCUUCGGGGACGAUAAUGACGGUACCCGAGGAGGAAGCCACGGCUAACUACGUGCCAGCAGCCGCGGUAAAACGUAGGUGGCAAGCGUUGUCCGGAAUUACUGGGUGUAAAGGGAGCGCAGGCGGGUCGGCAAGUUGGAGGUGAAAGCUGUGGGCUCAACUCACAAACGCCUUCAAAACUGCCGGUCUUGAGUGGUGUAGAGGUAGGCGGAAUUCCCGGUGUAGCGGUGGAAUGCGUAGAUAUCGGGAGGAACACCAGUGGCGAAGGCGGCCUACUGGGCACCAACUGACGCUGAGGCUCGAAAGCAUGGGUAGCAAACAGGAUUAGAUACCCUGGUAGUCCAUGCCGUAAACGAUGAUUACUAGGUGUGGGAGGAUUGACCCCUUCCGUGCCGCAGUUAACACAAUAAGUAAUCCACCUGGGGAGUACGACCGCAAGGUUGAAACUCAAAGGAAUUGACGGGGGCCCGCACAAGCAGUGGAGUAUGUGGUUUAAUUCGAAGCAACGCGAAAAACCUUACCAGGUCUUGACAUCCGACGCAUAGCUCAGAGAUGAGUGAAGUCCUUCGGGACGUCGAGACAGGUGGUGCAUGGUUGUCGUCAGCUCGUGUCGUGAGAUGUUGGGUUAAGUCCCGCAACGAGCGCAACCCUUAUCGUCAGUUACUACGCAAGAGGACUCUGGCGAGACUGCCGUUGACAAAACGGAGGAAGGUGGGGAUGACGUCAAAUCAUCAUGCCCUUUAUGACCUGGGCUACACACGUACUACAAUGGCGCUUAACAAAGAGAAGCGAAACCGCGAGGUGGAGCAAACCUCACAAACAGCGUCUCAGUUCAGAUUGCAGGCUGCAACUCGCCUGCAUGAAGUCGGAAUUGCUAGUAAUCGCGGAUCAGCAUGCCGCGGUGAAUACGUUCCUGGGCCUUGUACACACCGCC
This 1371-nucleotide ribosomal RNA is filed under the name uncultured bacterium. RNAcentral describes it as "bacterial SSU rRNA". It matches the Rfam family "Bacterial small subunit ribosomal RNA", at positions 18 to 1394 of the family's 1533-position model. The record is from RNAcentral.